This 483-nucleotide ribosomal RNA is filed under the name uncultured bacterium. RNAcentral describes it as "partial 16S ribosomal RNA". It matches the Rfam family "Bacterial small subunit ribosomal RNA", at positions 30 to 507 of the family's 1533-position model. The record is from RNAcentral.
AUUGAACGCUGGCGGCAGGCCUAACACAUGCAAGUCGAGCGGAUGAAGGGAGCUUGCUCCUGGAUUCAGCGGCGGACGGGUGAGUAAUGCCUAGGAAUCUGCCUGGUAGUGGGGGAUAACGUCCGGAAACGGGCGCUAAUACCGCAUACGUCCUGAGGGAGAAAGUGGGGGAUCUUCGGACCUCACGCUAUCAGAUGAGCCUAGGUCGGAUUAGCUAGUUGGUGGGGUAAAGGCCUACCAAGGCGACGAUCCGUAACUGGUCUGAGAGGAUGAUCAGUCACACUGGAACUGAGACACGGUCCAGACUCCUACGGGAGGCAGCAGUGGGGAUAUUGGACAAAGGGCGAAAGCCUGAUCCAGCCAUGCCGCGUGUGUGAAGAAGGUCUUCGGAUUGUAAAGCACUUUAAGUUGGGAGGAAGGGCAGUAAGUUAAUACCUUGCUGUUUUGACGUUACCAACAGAAUAAGCACCGGCUAACUUCGUG